ACUGCAGUAUAUAUAAAUGAGAGAAAACAGAUAAUAAACCAGCAGUUAAUAAGAGUCAGUUUGGCGAUUGUAUCCGUAGAUUGCAACUUUGUUCUGAAAUUCUAAAUCAAGUAGGAAAAAAUUUCAAAAUGAAAACUAAAGUAUUAGUACUGUGCCUAUUUCUUAUUUGUUCUCUUUUCCAUGAAAAUUCAGCAGUCAACAGUGGCUGUAAUGAACCGAUCACUGUCGGCCCGUGUAGAGCAUCCAUACCGAGAUGGGCAUUCGAUGGGUCAAAAUGUAUAAAAUUCACUUAUGGUGGGUGCCAAGGUAAUGGAAAUAAUUUUAUGACGAAGGAAGAAUGCGAAAAUGCUUGCAGUGGUAAUUAACAGUAGUUCAUCCUAUUUGUUGUAUACGUUCCUACCAUUCUUAUUGCUAAGUGAUCUAUAUUUGUUAUAUAAUGGAAAAUACAAAUGAUAUAAAUAUGUAACUAAAAAUAUGUAUAAAUCUUUGAAAUAAAUUUUGAGAAACAAUUUAAAGGU
This is a long non-coding RNA of Polistes canadensis, 518 nucleotides long. RefSeq lists it as uncharacterized. The transcript has 3 exons. The record is from RefSeq and is a predicted model, not a curated record. Lineage: Eukaryota; Metazoa; Arthropoda; Insecta; Hymenoptera; Vespidae.